RNAcentral lists this transfer RNA (72 nucleotides) under Phrynosoma platyrhinos (Desert horned lizard). Its description in RNAcentral is "tRNA-OTHER". The record is from RNAcentral. Lineage: Eukaryota; Metazoa; Chordata; Lepidosauria; Squamata; Phrynosomatidae.
GACAGUUUGGCAUAGUGGUUUGAGUGUUUGACUAUGACUCUGGAAACCAGGGUUCAAUUCCCCACUUGGCCA